CAUACCGAGGAUCGCCCCCCGUCAGCGAGGUUUCGCCCACGGGGGCGUUCAGC
RNAcentral lists this small RNA (53 nucleotides) under Rhodovulum sp. P5. Its description in RNAcentral is "ffh sRNA". It matches the Rfam family "ffh sRNA". Lineage: Bacteria; Pseudomonadati; Pseudomonadota; Alphaproteobacteria; Rhodobacterales; Paracoccaceae. The record is from Rfam by way of RNAcentral.